UAGGGAAUCUUCCACAAUGGGCGCAAGCCUGAUGGAGCAACACCGCGUGAGUGAAGAAGGGUUUCGGCUCGUAAAACUCUGUUGUUGAAGAAGAACGUGCGUGAGAGUAACUGUUCACGCAGUGACGGUAUCCAACCAGAAAGUCACGGCUAACUACGUGCCUG
RNAcentral lists this ribosomal RNA (164 nucleotides) under uncultured bacterium. RNAcentral describes it as "partial 16S rRNA". It matches the Rfam family "Bacterial small subunit ribosomal RNA", at positions 355 to 511 of the family's 1533-position model. The record is from RNAcentral.